Molecule: ribosomal RNA, 124 nt
Filed under: Diaea dorsata
Lineage: Eukaryota; Metazoa; Arthropoda; Arachnida; Araneae; Thomisidae
Also listed under: 1 other name
Description: partial 16S ribosomal RNA
Source: RNAcentral
GUCUGUUCGACUUUUAAACAAUUACAUGAAUUGAGUUCAGACCGGUGUAAACCAGGUCGGUUUCUAUCUUUUCUUUUAAUUUUUACAGUACGAAAGGGCCUAAAAAUAUAAUAUAAUUAAUUAU